UACGGGGGGAGCGAGCGUUGUUCGGAAUUACUGGGCGUAAAGGGCGCGUAGGCGGAUUCGGAAGUCGAGCGUGAAAACUCCUGGCUCAACCAGGAGCCUGCGCCUGAAACUCCGGAUCUUGAGUACAGAAGAGGAGAGUGGAAUUCCUGGUGUAGCGGUGAAAUGCGUAGAUAUCAGGAAGAACAUCGGUGGCGAAGGCGGCUCUCUGGUCUGAUACUGACGCUGAGGCGCGAAAGCGUGGGGAGCAAACAGGAUUAGAUACCCUCGUA
This 269-nucleotide ribosomal RNA is filed under the name uncultured prokaryote. RNAcentral's name for it is "partial 16S ribosomal RNA". It matches the Rfam family "Bacterial small subunit ribosomal RNA", at positions 524 to 792 of the family's 1533-position model. The record is from RNAcentral.